This 497-nucleotide ribosomal RNA is filed under the name uncultured bacterium. RNAcentral's name for it is "partial 16S ribosomal RNA". It matches the Rfam family "Bacterial small subunit ribosomal RNA", at positions 28 to 507 of the family's 1533-position model. The record is from RNAcentral.
GAUGAACGCUGGCGGCGUGCCUAAUACAUGCAAGUCGAGCGGACGGACGAGAAGCUUGCUUCUCUGAUGUUAGCGGCGGACGGGUGAGUAACACGUGGAUAACCUACCUAUAAGACUGGGAUAACUUCGGGAAACCGGAGCUAAUACCGGAUAAUAUUUUGAACCGCACGGUUCAAAAGUGAAAGACGGUCUUGCUGUCACGUAUAGAUGGAUCCGAGCUGCAUUAGCUAGUUGGUGAGGUAACGGCUUACCAAGGCAACGAUGCAUAGCCGACCUGAGAGGGUGAUCGGCCACACGGGAACUGAGACACGGUCCAUACUCCUACGGGAGGCAGCAGUAGGGAAUCUUCCGCAAUGGGCGAAAGCCUGACGGAGCAACGCCGCGUGAGUGAUGAAGGUCUUCGGAUCGUAAAACUCUGUUAUUAGGGAAGAACAUAUGUGUAAGUAACUGUGCACAUCUUGACGGUACCUAAUCAGAAAGCCACGGCUAACUACGUG